RNA transcript from Drosophila miranda, 899 nucleotides. RefSeq lists it as uncharacterized. The transcript is spliced from 4 exons. NCBI's taxonomy places the organism in Eukaryota, Metazoa, Arthropoda, Insecta, Diptera, Drosophilidae. The record is from RefSeq and is a predicted model, not a curated record.
CAUUCUAAAACUAACUGUCGUCAGCAGAACAGCUCGGAGACGGGACAAAAAUAUUUAUAUUUUUUAAAAAAGAAUAUCCGAAAAAAGAUCGAAGCCGCUUGGAAGUAAAAGUCAAAUCAUCAAUAAACAUAUAUAUUUUUCUACCGGACAGCAUAACAAAUAAUAAAUUAGUGGACUGGAUUGUAAACCAGGCAAAAACCUAACCUCUCUUACAGUAAUCACAGUAAUCAAAUAGAGAUGAAUCAUAGGAAGGGCUGAAAAUCAUCAAUCAAAGCAAGCUUGAAAUAAAUGAAAGAUAUAUGUCAAUGUGCUAGUUUCUAAAAAUCUCCAAAAAUCAUUCACAGCUGGACUUCAAACCGAUAACAUCUAACCAGGAAACAUUUUUGUUUAUCUUAAAGAAACCCAUUGAUAGUAAUAAGAUGCUGCGCCUUCCAGCUGUUUGUGUUCAGCAGCUGCGCUGUAACCAACUUAUUACCGAUCCCAUGCCACAGAGCUCUUUGCCCGUGUCGCCCAAGGACAUACGCUCUCGUGGGCCAGUUGUCGAGACGUAUGAGGGCAAGCAAAAAAACCCAGACGAUGCCGUGCUGCCGAUGCCUCCUCACAAACUCCCCCUGGACCUAUUGGGGGAUUUGGCUAGGCUUGGGCAAAGCAUGCUGAAUCUGAAGGAGAUAAUACAGCAACAGAAGUUCGAUUUCAAAGAGGCACUGAUGAUGGGAAAGGAUAACUUCAAAGAAGAGUUUCAGAAGAAAACGGAGAGUGGGAUUUUCAAGAUGCAGAAUGGCAUUAAGAAUGCCAUUGAUUUAUUGAAGCGGGGUUUCUAAUCAAUUUUUUUGUUAAUGUUAAUAUUCUAAAAUGUUUUCCAUAAAUUUCCUAUUAUAUUUGAACAGUUAACAGAAAGU